AUUGAACGCUGGCGGCAUGCCUUACACAUGCAAGUCGAACGGCAGCGCGGGCUUCGGCCUGGCGGCGAGUGGCGAACGGGUGAGUAAUGCAUCGGAACGUGCCCAGUAGUGGGGGAUAGCCCGGCGAAAGCCGGAUUAAUACCGCAUACGACCUGAGGGUGAAAGCGGGGGACCGAAAGGCCUCGCGCUAUUGGAGCGGCCGAUGUCGGAUUAGCUAGUUGGUGGGGUAAAGGCUUACCAAGGCGACGAUCCGUAGCUGGUCUGAGAGGACGACCAGCCACACUGGGACUUGGACACGGCCCAGACUCCUACGGGAGGCAGCAGUGGGGAAUUUUGGACAAUGGGGGCAACCCUGAUCCAGCCAUGCCGCGUGCGGGAAGAAGGCCUUCGGGUUGUAAACCGCUUUUGUUCGGGAAGAAAUCCUCUGGGCUAAUACCCCGGGGGGAUGACGGUACCGGAAGAAUAAGCACCGGCUAACUACGUG
This 484-nucleotide ribosomal RNA is filed under the name uncultured bacterium. Its description in RNAcentral is "partial 16S ribosomal RNA". It matches the Rfam family "Bacterial small subunit ribosomal RNA", at positions 28 to 507 of the family's 1533-position model. The record is from RNAcentral.